GAUAUCAACUGAAAAAGUCAUCAACAACAAAGUUGAAUAACUCAUCAAGAUCUAAAACUUUUAUUUUGGUCAUUUCUUCAUACGACAAAGUGAUAGUAACAUUGUUCACAAAAUUGACAUAUCUCUUAUCUGGUUUUUUAUAAACUAUAACACAUAUAUGUAAAAUUUGUGAAUAAUAUUACUAACAUUUCGUCAGAUGAAGAAAUAACAAAAAUAAAAGUUUUAGAUCUUGAUGAGUUAUUCAACUUUGUUGUUGAUGACUUUUUCAAUUGAAAUC
Molecule: microRNA precursor, 277 nt
Filed under: Oryza sativa Japonica Group (Japanese rice)
Lineage: Eukaryota; Viridiplantae; Streptophyta; Magnoliopsida; Poales; Poaceae
Also listed under: 1 other name
Description: MIR821 microRNA precursor family
Rfam family: MIR821 microRNA precursor family
Source: Rfam by way of RNAcentral